This 467-nucleotide ribosomal RNA is filed under the name uncultured bacterium. Its description in RNAcentral is "partial 16S ribosomal RNA". It matches the Rfam family "Bacterial small subunit ribosomal RNA", at positions 28 to 507 of the family's 1533-position model. The record is from RNAcentral.
GACGAACGCUGGCGGCGUGCUUAACACAUGCAAGUCGAACGGAAAGGCCCUGCUUUUGUGGGGUGCUCGAGUGGCGAACGGGUGAGUAACACGUGAGUAACCUGCCCUUGACUUUGGGAUAACUUCAGGAAACUGGGGCUAAUACCGGAUAGGAGCUCCUGCUGCAUGGGGGGGUUGGAAAGUUUCGGCGGUUGGGGAUGGACCUGCGGCUUAUCAGCUUGUUGGUGGGGUAGUGGCUUACCAAGGCUUUGACGGGUAGCCGGCCUGAGAGGGUGACCGGCCACAUUGGGACUGAGAUACGGCCCAGACUCCUACGGGAGGCAGCAGUGGGGAAUAUUGCACAAUGGGCGGAAGCCUGAUGCAGCAACGCCGCGUGCGGGAUGACGGCCUUCGGGUUGUAAACCGCUUUCGCCUGUGACGAAGCGUGAGUGACGGUAAUGGGUAAAGAAGCACCGGCUAACUACGUG